UGUGCUAAUCCUCUUGGAAUGCAGCAAUUAUCACCUACCGUAUAGGUGUUAAGUGCUGUAUUUCAAAGGGAUUAUCACU
Charadrius vociferus (killdeer) is the source of this 79-nucleotide non-coding RNA. The record is from Rfam. Lineage: Eukaryota; Metazoa; Chordata; Aves; Charadriiformes; Charadriidae.